Non-coding RNA from Meloidogyne enterolobii, 101 nucleotides. NCBI's taxonomy places the organism in Eukaryota, Metazoa, Nematoda, Chromadorea, Rhabditida, Meloidogynidae. The record is from the annotation of a GenBank genome assembly.
GUCCCGGUAGCUCAGUUGGUAGAGCACCGGUAAGUGGUGAGCGAAAGCUUUUAGCAAUAGUAACUGCAAGGAGGUCCCAGGAUCGAAGCCUGCCCGGGAUU